CAAGGGUUUGGUCCUGGCCCUUCCAUUAGUUAUUAAUAGGAUUACACAUGCAAGCCUCCGCGCCCCGGUGAAAAUGCCCUCUAAAUCAUAACUGACCUAAAGGAGCAGGUAUCAAGCACACAAAAUUGUAGCUCAUAACGCCUUGCUUAGCCACACCCCCACGGGUAACAGCAGUGACAAAAAUUAAGCCAUGAAUGAAAGUUCGACUAAGCCAUAUUAAAUUAGGGUUGGUAAAUUUCGUGCCAGCCACCGCGGCCAUACGAUUAACCCAGACUAAUAGACACACGGCGUAAAGCGUGUCCUAGAAACAGCCCCUCCCUCCACUAAAGUUAAAUCUUAACUAAGCUGUAAAAAGCCACAGUUAACAUGAAAAUACAACACGAAAGUAACUUUAACACCUCAACCACACGAUAGCUAAGACCCAAACUGGGAUUAGAUACCCCACUAUGCUUAGCCCUAAACUCAGAUAGUUAACUUAACAAAUCUAUCCGCCAGAGAACUACUAGCAACAGCUUAAAACUCAAAGGACUUGGCGGUGCUUCACAUCCCUCUAGAGGAGCCUGUUCUAUAAUCGAUAAACCCCGAUAAACCUCACCACCUCUUGCUAAUACAGUCUAUAUACCGCCAUCUUCAGCAAACCCUCAAAAGGAACAACAGUAAGCAAAAGUAUCUUAACAUAAAAAAGUUAGGUCAAGGUGUAACCUAUGAGGUGGAAAGCAAUGGGCUACAUUUUCUACACAAGAACACUUCACGAAAGUUUUUAUGAAACCAAAAACUAAAGGAGGAUUUAGCAGUAAGCUGAGAAUAGAGCGCUCAGCUGAAUCGGGCCAUGAAGCACGCACACACCGCCCGUCACCCUCCUCAAGUAUAUAAACCCAAACAUAACAUAUUAAAAUCACACUCAACACAAGAGGAGACAAGUCGUAACAAGGUAAGCAUACUGGAAAGUGUGCUUGGAUCAAG
Molecule: non-coding RNA, 963 nt
Filed under: Herpestes sanguineus (slender mongoose)
Lineage: Eukaryota; Metazoa; Chordata; Mammalia; Carnivora; Herpestidae
Description: Galerella sanguinea (slender mongoose) 12S ribosomal RNA
Rfam family: Bacterial small subunit ribosomal RNA
Source: RNAcentral